AAUGAUGUGCCUGAUUAAAGGAUUAUUUUGAUAGAAUAAAUUAUAUAAUUAUUAUCUUCAUUA
RNAcentral lists this transfer RNA (63 nucleotides) under Pelecinus polyturator. RNAcentral describes it as "tRNA-Ile". Lineage: Eukaryota; Metazoa; Arthropoda; Insecta; Hymenoptera; Pelecinidae. The record is from RNAcentral.